Molecule: ribosomal RNA, 669 nt
Filed under: Triticum aestivum (bread wheat)
Lineage: Eukaryota; Viridiplantae; Streptophyta; Magnoliopsida; Poales; Poaceae
Description: partial small subunit ribosomal RNA
Source: RNAcentral
AUGCACUGGUACUCGUGGUGGAAAUUGUGCUUCCCUAAAAGUGAAGGCGGUAUGGGAUUUCGUGAUCUAUAUUCGUUCAAUUUAGCCAUGCUUGCUAAACAAUGCUGGAGGUUAAUUACUGAACCAGAGUCUCUAUGUGCUCGUGUUUUGAAAGCGAAAUAUUAUCCAAAUGGGAGCUUACUUCAAGCUACUCCUAAACAAGGAUCGUCGUUCACAUGGCAAAGUAUUCUGAAGGGGCUAGAGACUUUCAAGAAAGGUUUUAUUUGGAGAAUUGGUUCUGGUGAUACAGUGAAUAUAUGGGAUGAUCCAUGGAUACCUUCCAGCUCGGAUCGAAAGAUAAUUACCCCUCGUGGGCAAACAUUAAUGUCACGGGUAAGUGAUCUCAUUGACCCAAAUAAUGGCACAUGGGAUGAGGAGCUACUGAGAAGCAUCUUCAACCCUGUGGAUGUGCGAAGGAUAUUGCAAAUACCCUUGAAUCACCAAGCCUUUGAUGACUUUGUUGCUUGGCAUGUGAAUAGAACAAGAAUCUUCUCUGUCCGAACGGCGUACAGAUUACAGUGGAUGCAUACUUUUAGGUCUCAGGCAAAUGGAAUUUCAGGAGCAACUGGCUCUAAUCCUCCGGCCGUAUGGAGAAUACUAUGGAAACUAAAUAUUCCACGCAAAGUUUAG